UGUCUCGUUAGUUAAAUGGAUAUAACAUGGUCCUCCUAAGACUAAAUUAUAGGUUCGAUUCCUAUACGAGACGGCCA
RNAcentral lists this transfer RNA (77 nucleotides) under Faecalimonas nexilis. Its description in RNAcentral is "Tyzzerella nexilis tRNA-Arg(cct)". It matches the Rfam family "tRNA". Rfam says of the family: Transfer RNA (tRNA) molecules are approximately 80 nucleotides in length. Their secondary structure includes four short double-helical elements and three loops (D, anti-codon, and T loops). Lineage: Bacteria; Bacillati; Bacillota; Clostridia; Lachnospirales; Lachnospiraceae. The record is from RNAcentral. RNAcentral also lists the same sequence under 4 other names.